RNAcentral lists this ribosomal RNA (387 nucleotides) under uncultured eukaryote. RNAcentral's name for it is "SSU rRNA". It matches the Rfam family "Eukaryotic small subunit ribosomal RNA", at positions 587 to 972 of the family's 1831-position model. The record is from RNAcentral.
AGCUCCAAUAGCGUAUAUUAAAAUUGUUGCAGUUAAAAAGCUCGUAGUUGGAUCUCAGGUUGGGUGUGGCUAUGUUACCUAUGGUUAUCAUGACUUUACAUCUGCCUGUUUUAGCCGUUUGUCUAUUAUGGUUCUCUUUAUUGAGUGCUAUAAUUGCUCGGCACGUUUACCUUGAAAAAAUCAGAGUGCUCAAAGCAGGCCUUUGUGCUUGAAUGUUGUUGCAUGGAAUAAUGGAAUAGGAUUUCAAUUCUAUUUUGCUGGUAUUUGAGAAUUGAAAUAAUGAGCAAAAAAGACGGACGAGGGCAUUUCUAUGUCUGUGCUAGAGGUGAAAUUCUGAGACCGCAGACAGAGAACCGACGGCGAAAGCAUUUGCCAAGCACGUCUUUA